Molecule: long non-coding RNA, 549 nt
Organism: Zingiber officinale
Lineage: Eukaryota; Viridiplantae; Streptophyta; Magnoliopsida; Zingiberales; Zingiberaceae
Exons: 5
Source: RefSeq, a predicted model, not a curated record
UUUCUCUAUAAAAGACGUAAUUUCGAUCGUCAUUUUUAUAUACUUUGGCAGGGUUUCAGAUCCUUUGUGUGGACUGCAAUUUCUUACAAGAUGAAAGACAUACUGAAGUUAUCGUCGUCUUCAUCACAGUUUCUAGUUUCUGUUGCUCAUUCUCCAUGGAGUAUCAAACCAAUUUAUGGAUACACAUAGCUGGACUCACAAGAACAUUUGGGCAUUAUGUGUGAGAUCAUACUGUUUCUGAUAUUGAUGCAUGAAGGUGCAUAACUUGUUGAGCAACACAAGGCAAAUAUGAUAUUACUCUUGGUGUUUCCCUUGGUUCAGCAACCCAGAUCUCCAUGUUUGUUGUUCCAUUAUAUGUUAUGGUGGCUUGGAUAACGGGAAUCAAGAUGGAUCUUGAUCUUAAUCUGUUAGAAAUUGGCUCAUUGAUCAUGGCAAUACUAGUAAUAGCAUUCACGUUACAGGAUGGAACUUCACAUUACUUAAAGGGGCUUGUUCCCUUGCUGUGCUACUUGUCAAUUGGUGCAUGCUUCUUUGUUUUCAAAUCCCCAC